UGUGUGCCUCGUGUGGGUUGACUCAUUGUGGGGAAGAGCUCGGAGAGAGAGGGCAGUGUGUGUGUGUGCGCAGAGAGAGAGAGAGAGAGAGAGAGGGAGAGAGGAUCCUUGACGUGACUCUGGGGGUCUGAGCUGAAGCGACGCGGAGGCGCGAGGAGAAGGAACGAGACUCUCCCGAGUGGGGUCGAACUCGGAGCCCGAGGAGCGAGCGAGAGAGCGAGAGAGGGACAGAGGGAGAGAGCCGACAAGGACCACAAAGGCUGAAGGGGUCGGUCGCCUGUUCCCGGUCGAGAGACAGAGAGCAGAAGGCAGGAGAGAGGGGGGGGGACAGACCGGAGGACUCACAAUGAGCCGAACUGGGGAGAGAGUCAUCGCGGGACAGUGUAGUGCAGACCGGAGGACUCACAAUGAGCCGAACUGGGGAGCGAGUCAUCGCGGGACAGUGUAG
Long non-coding RNA from Callorhinchus milii (elephant shark), 448 nucleotides. RefSeq lists it as uncharacterized. The record is from RefSeq and is a predicted model, not a curated record. The transcript has 3 exons. Lineage: Eukaryota; Metazoa; Chordata; Chondrichthyes; Chimaeriformes; Callorhinchidae.